RNAcentral lists this transfer RNA (79 nucleotides) under Treponema vincentii ATCC 35580. RNAcentral describes it as "tRNA-Arg". It matches the Rfam family "tRNA". From Rfam's summary of the family: Transfer RNA (tRNA) molecules are approximately 80 nucleotides in length. Lineage: Bacteria; Pseudomonadati; Spirochaetota; Spirochaetia; Treponematales; Treponemataceae. The record is from RNAcentral.
UGGGACUAUAGCUCAGCUGGAUAGAGCGUCAGAUUCCGGAUCUGAAGGCCGGCGGUUCGAAUCCGCCUAGUCUCAUUUU